UGCCAGGUAGCUGAGUUGGUAGAGCACUUGCCCUCGAAAGGCAAAGGUCCCGAGUUCGAGUCUCGGCCCGGCAC
This 74-nucleotide transfer RNA is filed under the name Schistocerca americana (American grasshopper). RNAcentral's name for it is "tRNA-Ser". It matches the Rfam family "tRNA". From Rfam's summary of the family: Transfer RNA (tRNA) molecules are approximately 80 nucleotides in length. Their secondary structure includes four short double-helical elements and three loops (D, anti-codon, and T loops). Further hydrogen bonds mediate the characteristic L-shaped molecular structure. tRNAs have two regions of fundamental functional importance: the anti-codon, which is responsible for specific mRNA codon recognition, and the 3' end, to which the tRNAs corresponding amino acid is attached (by aminoacyl-tRNA synthetases). tRNAs cope with the degeneracy of the genetic code in two manners: having more than one tRNA (with a specific anti-codon) for a particular amino acid; and 'wobble' base-pairing, i.e. permitting non-standard base-pairing at the 3rd anti-codon position. Lineage: Eukaryota; Metazoa; Arthropoda; Insecta; Orthoptera; Acrididae. The record is from RNAcentral.